UCUUAGGCUUGCUGGGUGAGAAAGUGCCGCGCGGCAUUCUGGGAGUUGUAGUUUCGCGGUGGGGGCGUGCCGCAGGGCAUGCCGGGAGCUGUAGUUCCGUGCCUGGCGAGGCGCCAUUUCCCGCCGCAGCCGGUCCGGCGAAGCUUGCGGCGCCCUCGGGGCUAGGCCGUGGCGCGCGCGGGGAAGCCGGGAGGGUGGCGGGCCUCUCUGCCGCCCCUCACCGCAGCUGGGGCCGGCGGCGGAACGCCGCCCUCGCAGGCCGUUUCUCUGAGCUAGGGGUGAGGCGAGGGCCUCGAGGCUGUGUGGGGAAGGCACCAGGACCAGAGUCCUGUCGCACUCAGCAGGUGUUGGAGCCACCAUCGAACCAGCGGAGGUGGGUAAAUGCCUUAUUUCCGCAAACACAGAGACACAACGUAUUCUGCAAUAGCUUAUGUCCUCGUAGUCCUGCCCUUGGCAGUGUGCAGUUCAGCUCCAAGAGCAAUGCUAGAAGACAGUGGGAGGAGGUUUCCUGUUGCUCCCAACCCGCAUUUCCAUUUUUUGGGAAACAGGUUAUGUAACAAAAGCAACUACAAACAGUAUAAGAAAAAUAUCUUUGUUAUUAUGAAUACAUCAUAAAAUAACAAUUACUUUAUACACAUUUUAGUAUUUCAUAUACUUAUAUAAAUAAAGUGAACAGUAUAACUAUUGGAAUGUGUAAU
Molecule: long non-coding RNA, 698 nt
Filed under: Apteryx rowi (Okarito brown kiwi)
Lineage: Eukaryota; Metazoa; Chordata; Aves; Apterygiformes; Apterygidae
Description: lncRNA (ENSARWG00000012962.1)
Source: RNAcentral